UUUGAUCCGUGGCUCAGGAUGAACGCUGGCGGCGUGCUUAACACAUGCAAGUCGAACGGUGAAAGAGAGCUUGCUCUCUGGAUCAGUGGCGAACGGGUGAGUAACACGUGAGCAAUCUGCCCCUGACUCUGGGAUAAGCGCUGGAAACGGCGUCUAAUACCGGAUACGAGCUGCGAAGGCAUCUUCAGCAGCUGGAAAGAACUUCGGUCAGGGAUGAGCUCGCGGCCUAUCAGCUAGUUGGUGAGGUAAUGGCUCACCAAGGCGUCGACGGGUAGCCGGCCUGAGAGGGUGACCGGCCACACUGGGACUGAGACACGGCCCAGACUCCUACGGGAGGCAGCAGUGGGGAAUAUUGCACAAUGGGCGCAAGCCUGAUGCAGCAACGCCGCGUGAGGGACGACGGCCUUCGGGUUGUAAACCUCUUUUAGCAAGGAAGAAGCGAAAGUGACGGUACUUGCAGAAAAAGCGCCGGCUAACUACGUG
Molecule: ribosomal RNA, 483 nt
Filed under: uncultured Microbacterium sp.
Lineage: Bacteria; Bacillati; Actinomycetota; Actinomycetes; Micrococcales; Microbacteriaceae
Description: bacterial SSU rRNA
Rfam family: Bacterial small subunit ribosomal RNA
Source: RNAcentral